Molecule: ribosomal RNA, 208 nt
Filed under: uncultured bacterium
Lineage: Bacteria
Description: partial 16S ribosomal RNA
Rfam family: Bacterial small subunit ribosomal RNA
Source: RNAcentral
UACGAAGGGGGCUAGCGUUGUUCGGAAUCACUGGGCGUAAAGCGUACGUAGGCGGACCAUUAAGUCGGGGUGAAAUCCCAGGGCUCAACCCUGGAACUGCCUUCGAUACUGGUGGUCUGGAGUCCGGGAGAGGUGAGUGGAACUCCUAGUGUAGAGGUGAAAUUCGUAGAUAUUAGGAAGAACACCAGUGGCGAAGGCGGCUCACGUG